RNAcentral lists this ribosomal RNA (744 nucleotides) under uncultured bacterium. Its description in RNAcentral is "bacterial SSU rRNA". It matches the Rfam family "Bacterial small subunit ribosomal RNA", at positions 62 to 766 of the family's 1533-position model. The record is from RNAcentral.
UCGAGCGAGUCUGCCUUGAAGAUCGGAGUGCUUGCACUCUGUGAAACAAGAUACAGGCUAGCGGCGGACGGGUGAGUAACACGUGGGUAACCUGCCCAAGAGAUCGGGAUAACACCUGGAAACAGAUGCUAAUACCGGAUAACAACAGAUGAUGCCUAUCAACUGUUUAAAAGAUGGUUCUGCUAUCACUCUUGGAUGGACCUGCGGUGCAUUAGCUAGUUGGUAGGGUAACGGCCUACCAAGGCGAUGAUGCAUAGCCGAGUUGAGAGACUGAUCGGCCACAUUGGGACUGAGACACGGCCCAAACUCCUACGGGAGGCAGCAGUAGGGAAUCUUCCACAAUGGACGCAAGUCUGAUGGAGCAACGCCGCGUGAGUGAAGAAGGGUUUCGGCUCGUAAAGCUCUGUUGUUGGUGAAGAAGGACAGGGGUAGUAACUGACCUUUGUUUGACGGUAAUCAAUUAGAAAGUCACGGCUAACUACGUGCCAGCAGCCGCGGUAAUACGUAGGUGGCAAGCGUUGUCCGGAUUUAUUGGGCGUAAAGCGAGUGCAGGCGGCUCGAUAAGUCUGAUGUGAAAGCCUUCGGCUCAACCGGAGAAUUGCAUCAGAAACUGUCGAGCUUGAGUACAGAAGAGGAGAGUGGAACUCCAUGUGUAGCGGUGAAAUGCGUAGAUAUAUGGAAGAACACCGGUGGCGAAGGCGGCUCUCUGGUCUGUUACUGACGCUGAGGCUCGAAAGCAUGGGU